UUCGACAGCCGUACCACCCUGGGCAGCCUCCUCAUCUCCUCUGUUCUGAGAAGCUAAGCAGAGUCAGGCCUGAGUGGUACAGAGAUGGAAGGCCAUGGCCUUGCAACCCAGGCUUCUCUAGUGC
Molecule: ribosomal RNA, 124 nt
Filed under: Mus caroli (Ryukyu mouse)
Lineage: Eukaryota; Metazoa; Chordata; Mammalia; Rodentia; Muridae
Description: rRNA (MGP_CAROLIEiJ_G0034268.1)
Source: RNAcentral